This 387-nucleotide long non-coding RNA is filed under the name Equus asinus (donkey). RNAcentral's name for it is "lncRNA (ENSEASG00005035308.1)". The record is from RNAcentral. Lineage: Eukaryota; Metazoa; Chordata; Mammalia; Perissodactyla; Equidae.
GUCGAGGCCAUCUUGUUCACUCACUUCACAGAGAUACAAACAAACCAAAAGAGAUGAUUCUAUUUACUUAAGAUUCACUGGUAUGUGGGAGAGCUAUGUUUUAGACAGUAAAAAAUCUAGCUGUAAUCUGGAUGGCAGAUUGGGCAGGGAGAGGCCAGAAGCAAAGAGACCCAUUAGGAAGAUGUGACAUCAUCAGAAAUCAAGUCUCAUUUUACAGAUGAGGAAACUGAGGUACAGGGAGUAACUUGCCAAAGUCGUCACAGCUGGUAAGUGGCAGAAGCUCAAUCAGACCCCAGCAGCUAACUCCAGACCCCUUGUACUCUCUCAAUCACUGUUGUUUCUUGCUUCGUGUUUGGCUGAUUUUAAAUUUUAACUUUUUUAUAAAGU